Passer montanus (Eurasian tree sparrow) is the source of this 976-nucleotide long non-coding RNA. RefSeq lists it as uncharacterized. The record is from RefSeq and is a predicted model, not a curated record. NCBI's taxonomy places the organism in Eukaryota, Metazoa, Chordata, Aves, Passeriformes, Passeridae. The transcript has 4 exons.
ACAGUUUCAUUCAGUUUCCUCAUGGAUAUCCUACUGCAAAGGAAUUUGAUCCUAAACUAAGUGUUGGUUUAAAAAAAAUUAAAAGUGAUACAAUGGACUCCUGCAAUGUAGAAGAAUGACUGGCCAGAAAUGAACUAUAAGUGCUCUGCACAGGCAAUACAAAUAUUGAUAACUUUAGUGACAUAACAAGAAAACAGGACAAAGAAGCCUCUGGACCCACUCUGAGGGGCUGACCUAGGGAUUUCUGCCAGAAGUUUGUUUUUAUAACGAUACAGGGAAGAUGGCUCACUAUUCACUGUAGAAGUCUGCAAUUACUUCAGUUUCAUUCUGGCUUUAGAGAUAUCCCAGCCUCAUCAACAGAAUUUCAAAUUUUGCUCUUGUUCACCACACUGCUUUCACUUAUUUUCAUCUUAGUGUCGUCAAAAAACUUUCAAAGUGUAUUCCUUACUCUGUCACCUGCACCAUCCACCUAUGAAAUAGCAAUGGCUUUAGAGAUGUUCAAAGUGACCUGCUACUGCACCCUCUUAGAUUAACAGUCCAGUUGCCAUUCACGUUUGUUAAUUACCUUCAGAGGGAUUUGGUUUGUGUUGGUUUACCUUUAAUGAACAUUGUCUUUAUGAUAAAUUAGAUAGAUGCAUUUUUACUGAUUAUCUUCAAACAUGUGACAGACAAUGACAAAGUAUUAUAGAAGAAAGAUCCAUGACUAUUUGGCGGGAAAACCUCCUCCUACACUUUCCUUCUGACCCCUUGCUCUUUUUGUAGUUGGUUUUUGUUAUAUCUAUUUGGUAAAAAAAAAUUAAAUGCAAAUGUAUUCCUUUCUUCUUUAAUUAUCUGUUCUUGUAAUUACUCUUCACUUAAAACCUUUAUUACCUUGUCUUUAUCUUGUCUAUGAAACUGAUUUGUUAAUUUUUAAAUAAAAAAGUGAUCUGUUUACUUAUUUUCUGCUUUCCUUCCUCUCUUCAAGCACUAACAAAGG